AAGCCAUGCAAGUCUAAGUAUAAGUUAUUCUUAAGACGAAACUGCGAAUGGCUCGGUAAAACAGCAAUAAUUUCUUCGGUGAUGAGUUUACUCACGGAUAACCGUAGUAAUUCUAGAGCUAAUACGUGCUGAAAAAAGUGGGGUUCGCCCCACUGUGCCGUUUAGAUAACAACACCAACAUUUGGUGAUUCAUAAUCGUCUUUCUGAUCGCUUCAUGCGACGCACCGUUCAAAUUUCUGACCUAUCAACUUUCGAUGGUAAGGUAGUGUCUUACCAUGGUGGCAACGGGUAACGGACCGUGGGUGCGGGACUCCGGAGAGGGAGCCUGAGAAACGGCUACCACAUCCAAGGAAGGCAGCAGGCGCGCAACUUGCCCAAUCCAGACUCUGGGAGGCAGUGACAAGAAAUAUCAAUAGGGGAUCCUAUGGGUCUUCUAAUUGGAAUGAGAACAAGCUAAACAGCUUAUCGAGAAUCCAGCAGAGGGCAAGUCUGGUGCCAGCAGCCGCGGUAAUUCCAGCU
Molecule: ribosomal RNA, 519 nt
Filed under: Mastophoroideae sp. SWD-2014
Lineage: Eukaryota; Rhodophyta; Florideophyceae; Corallinales; Mastophoraceae
Description: SSU rRNA
Rfam family: Eukaryotic small subunit ribosomal RNA
Source: RNAcentral